RNAcentral lists this transfer RNA (71 nucleotides) under Loxodonta africana (African savanna elephant). It matches the Rfam family "tRNA". From Rfam's summary of the family: Transfer RNA (tRNA) molecules are approximately 80 nucleotides in length. Their secondary structure includes four short double-helical elements and three loops (D, anti-codon, and T loops). Lineage: Eukaryota; Metazoa; Chordata; Mammalia; Proboscidea; Elephantidae. The record is from Rfam by way of RNAcentral.
GCAGCAGUGGUUCAGCAGUAGGAUUUUCACCUUCCAUGUGGGGGAUCCUGGUUCGAUUCCUGGCCAGUGCG